Molecule: ribosomal RNA, 102 nt
Filed under: Andersonia heterophylla
Lineage: Eukaryota; Viridiplantae; Streptophyta; Magnoliopsida; Ericales; Ericaceae
Description: partial 5.8S ribosomal RNA
Rfam family: 5.8S ribosomal RNA
About the family: 5.8S ribosomal RNA (5.8S rRNA) is a component of the large subunit of the eukaryotic ribosome. It is transcribed by RNA polymerase I as part of the 45S precursor that also contains 18S and 28S rRNA.
Source: RNAcentral
AUACUUGGUGUGAAUUGCAGAAUCCCGUGAACCAUCGAGUCUUUGAACGCAAGUUGCGCCUGAAGCCAUUAGGCUGAAGGCACGUCUGCCUGGGCAUCACGC